Molecule: long non-coding RNA, 227 nt
Filed under: Solanum tuberosum (potato)
Lineage: Eukaryota; Viridiplantae; Streptophyta; Magnoliopsida; Solanales; Solanaceae
Description: long non-coding RNA (STUB_LNC004670)
Source: RNAcentral
CCACAGAUCAUGUAUAACAUUCUUUAAACUUUUUUUGGUUUAAUAGUAUUUGAGGGCUUUUAGAAUGACCAAUGUCUUUGCUUUUGUGUUGGUUGUUGUACCUAAGUCAUGUGCCUCUGCCACAACAUAAUUCAAAUUUUCUAUGCUAUUUUUGAGGCAAAAACCAUAUGAGCUCUACCCUAAAUUUCCUUUGCUACGCAUAUUAGUGUUGUAUUUUAAUCCUCCAC